GGAUCCAGACCGUGGUAUGGAGAAAAGAAGCACCAUGACUGUGAGGGACCAGGUUGCCUGCAGCUGAGAGAUGCCAUUUGUGCAGGGAGCAGCCAGGGCUCUGCGAGGCAAAAAAGGAAUUGCGGAGAUAGAGCAAUCAAAUCCAAGUCCUGGGUGAACUUGAAGUGUUGUCUCAAGGACAAGGAGCCAGUGGCCAGGCAGGGGGUUGUGCCAACUGCUCUGAAAUGUCAGCAUUUAUCUUGCUCCGUGGCUCGGAUACAUUAUCUUUUCUGGGUCAGGCAGCCUGAAAAUAUCCCUCUGGUGAAAACAGGUGAUUCAAAGCCUGGCAGCUCAGCUGGUUGCAUGCCCUUUGUGUAUACCCCUGCGAACCUGCUACAACAUGAGGCAAGGGUGCAGGUGUCUGUAGGACUGAUAGCAGAACUGAUACACAGCUUGUCUCAUCCAGAGAUGAGGAUGAGCUCUGGGCAGUGCUCAUGAGGAGAGCAGCUUCUUCUGCGGUCACCUCUGGGAAAAUCCUCACUGCCAAGGGACGGCUUAUUCUUCCCUCAUAGGUAGUCAUGCUCAUGUCUUCUCAAAGCUGGAGUUUUUCUUGCUGAAAGUCUUCCUACCCCAAUCUUGAAAGUGUAAACCUGUGGAAAGUUUUUAUCCACCUAUUUGCUGGAUUGUACCAAGCCCCUCUGGUGCAAGUUUGCUGCAGCUCUCAUUAAACUCUGCCAACACUGUGUGAAAGGAUACCAAAAGACAUUUUGACUUAAAAUCUGGAUUUUAUGAGAGAAAAAGAGCCACAGGUUUAUUUCAGUUUUGUUUACCUAUAAAAUAAUGCAACUAUAAUUAAAGCAUCACUUGCAUCUCUGUCUGCCUGAAACUAUUCUGACAACAUAUUUUUUCUUUCUGAUUCAUCUACAUUGAAAACUUCCUCUGUUACAAUGCUGACUUUGAUGAUAUUUUGGGUUGAGCCCUUUAAAUGAUUUUUCACUUCACAAUGAGUUUCUGUCCCCAGACAUAUUUUGUUCUAUAUUACAUUAUAUUAAUA
RNAcentral lists this long non-coding RNA (1033 nucleotides) under Anas platyrhynchos platyrhynchos (common mallard). RNAcentral's name for it is "lncRNA (ENSAPLG00000016997.1)". The record is from RNAcentral. Lineage: Eukaryota; Metazoa; Chordata; Aves; Anseriformes; Anatidae.